ACACUCUAGUAAUAAGACGUUAUGUUAUGUGUCUAUCACAAUAUCAAAUCACAUUAUAUUCGUGACACGAUAAUUUAUAUAUUACAAAUUUUUUAUAUAUCAAUAUAAUAACAUUUACUUAUAUAAUGCAGCUAUAACAUCAAAAAAAUAAAUAUAAAAAAUCAAGAUGAAUUUAAAGCAAUCAUAAAACACUUUUAAACUAAAAUGCAAUAAAAACCUUUUAUGCUAAUCUCUUGUCUAUUCAAAUAAAUUUCGAUAUUUCAUAUUUAAUAAAUUCACAACUUUUGCUCAUCUGGCAUUUUCAAUUAGACAAGAUUUGGUAGGCUUUUUCGACAUGAAAUCAAAUUACUCAACGAGAAAGUCAAGCAAAUAAAACCCAAAGUUGACCAACACAAAAACCUUUUAACAUCAAUUAGUGCAAUUUCUUGGGCCAGAGCUCAGCCGUGGCCGUGAUUGCAACACCUACGCCGGGGUAGGCCAGAUAGACAGAUAUACAUAAACGUAACGUUAAAUUGCUUGGCUUGGAUGCCUGCAGUCGGCAGUCUGCUGGUAAUUACGGACAGCCAGUGCCUGUGCGCUGCACUGCACUGCACUCCAGUUCCACUUAACGAACAUGCUCCAAGUCUGGGCAAACAAUAGGCCUGGGCCUGGGCCAGGCCGGACAACAUGCUCGGAUCGUUGCCCGAACAGGGAUAAGUUGGACCUUGUUCUUGUUUAGAGUCGAACACAAUAAAACUGUACGAGUCGAAAGGUGCUCUGUGGCAUGCACUGUGGCAUGCUUGGCCAGGCAGCGCGAACAACUCUGUGGCAUGUUGUAGGUGUUGUUAUCAUAUUUGCAUGUUCCCACACUCAGUCUGCUCUAUCUCUGGCUCUGUCUCCCUCUCACUCUGCUGCCUUUGCCAAUAACUCAAUCAGUGGCGCAUUGCAGCUGCAUCGUUGAGCAUCAUUCAUCAUGUCCAGACCGUAGUCCGGUAGCCGGCAGACAGCUCACAAAAUAUGAAUCGCACUUGCCCCAAGUCAGUUCAGGAAUCAUCGCGAUUAUGUCACAGCAUCAGCAGGAGCAGGAGCUGGAGCAGGAGCAACGCAGCUUACAAUUUAUAAUUGUCAAACGGAAACUUGCCAGACAAAUGGAUAGAUAGUGCCAGCAUUGUGAGCAUAACAAGAGUCUAUAUACCCUUACAUACAUAUAGUAUGGAUCGGCUUCAGGAAUGCAGCUGCUUCCUGCGCGCUCCACACAAAUUGAAGUAACCAACUGGCUCGUAUUGAUUUAUGAACAUGGGAAAUUGACUUGUGAUAUAUUGGCGGGACCUUGAAAUCAAAUAUACACUGAGAGAAAUAUAAAUAAAUAAUUUAUAAGAGAUUAAAAUAUAUUUAUAAAUACUGGAAUUGUACUCUACUUUACCUAUUGAAUUGUAUUUAUAAUGUGUUACACUUAGAGAAAUAUUUAUGAAAAUAAAUUUAAUAAAUCAUUUAUAUUUAAA
Drosophila mojavensis is the source of this 1481-nucleotide long non-coding RNA. RefSeq lists it as uncharacterized. The record is from RefSeq and is a predicted model, not a curated record. The transcript is spliced from 2 exons. NCBI's taxonomy places the organism in Eukaryota, Metazoa, Arthropoda, Insecta, Diptera, Drosophilidae.